This is a non-coding RNA of Vicugna pacos (alpaca), 1851 nucleotides long. The record is from RefSeq and is a predicted model, not a curated record. Lineage: Eukaryota; Metazoa; Chordata; Mammalia; Artiodactyla; Camelidae.
GAUUUUGAACUUGCUUCCUUGAAUCAUUCUACUUUGGAGUAGACGGCUUUACAUCUUUCUUGAAAAAAUAAAUAAAAACAAGUGAAAAGUCCUCAGCUUGGUGCAGUGAUUUUACUCUGCAGAAAAACGUAAAGGUCUGUUACAUUUCCCAGAAUGGUUCCCAGUGCUGGAGAUAAUUCCUUUUCGGAGAACCUACAUUUCUCACCUGCUGAUUGCAAUUAGCCACUGCCAGCUGGGGCCUGGUAUGCAGCUGAAAAGCUAACAAGAAGUGGAGACCACGCGGAACCCAGACAGAGCAGAGGAUGUGAAAUAACUGCAUGUUUUCUUUGACCACCCAAAGCAGUAGCCCAUCUCUGGGUUCUUCCUAAGCAGACAGAAUGCAGUCUGAUGACCCCAGGAGCAUCCACUCAGAACCACACCGACCAGGACUAAAAGCCACGUGCCUUCUGCCCUGGAAUCGGCCACACUUCCUGAAUCCCUGGCAGGCCAGGCCAGGCCAGGCUGGGCCAGCCGUGCUGAGGAAGUCUGGCCUCCAGGCUGCGAGAUUCCAGCAAGCACAGUCCCUUCACAGAUAAGGAGACUGAAUUCUGCCAACAACCAUGUGAGCUUGGAAGAGGAUCCCAAGCCCCAGACACCUAGACUGCAGCCUGACGAGAUUCAGUGGAGGACCGAGCCAAGCUGUGUUCAAGCCCCUGACCCACAGGAAUGGUGGAACUGUACUUAACGGCGAGGCACUAAGUGUGUGGAAAAUUCAUAUAAAUGGCCAAACAAUAUAUCCCAUCCCACACUCUCCCCUACAGCUGUGACCUUGACAUUCCUCCCAUCAAGAGGCAGAGUCUAAUUCCCAUCACCUUGAGUCCGGAUGGGCUUGUGACUCUUUGAUAGAGGACACUGGAUUUUCAAGACUGGGUCAUAAAAAGCGAUGCAGCUUCCACCUUGUCACUGGAUCACUUGCACUGGAGCCCUGAGCUGCCACGCCAGAAAUCUGACUAUGCUGAGGCCAGCACGUUGUGAGGCAGCCCAGGCUCUAGGCACAUGAGAGCACAACACUUCCUGUGAGCCCAGCCUCCGGCCAUUGAGUCAUUCCCAAGCUCUCUAGUCUUUCCAGCUGAGGUUCUAGGCAUCAAGGAGCAGAGAAAAGCCAUCCCCACUGUGCCCUAACCAAAUUCCUGACCCACUGAAUCCAUGAAGGUAAUAAAAUGGUUGUUGCUUUACAUUAGUAACUUUGGGGGCAGUUUGCUACAUGGUAAUAGUAAUCAGAAAUCAGGCCAAACCCGAAAUCCAUGGGGUGGGAAAGUAAACUCCGCCUACUCCAGUGUGAAGUACUGCAAAUUCACAUGGCAAAGGGCAUACAUGUAUAAUUUUCAAAUUGCAAGGGUCUGAAGGAUUGGGAGCAACACCAUGAUCUAUCAUACAGCCUUAUAUCUGGUUAUGUUAAGGAUUCAGCUGAGGCCCAGAGAAGGUUCGUGCUUUGUUCAUAAUCACACAGCAUUGGUGUCAGGGCUUCAGAAUCAGCCCUGGUGAGCCUCUAGGACUGUCCAUAUCUAUGUGUUUGCCACACCCCGAGCUGUAACUGGUCGAAUAAACUUGACCUGAGAAUGACCUUCCCAGUGAAAGAGGAACCCAAUGAACGUAGACCCUGAAUGAUUUCCUUAGCUUUUAAAAGCCCCGGGCUGGUACCUGUUGUAAAUGGUUGUGCAGUAUCGAUAUUUAUUGAAUUUUGCACCCUGUGAGUCUGUUUUGUGGCUGCACAUCCAUGAUGGGUCACCAUUUUUUUUAAAGAUUAUAAAUGUAACAUGCAAAAAUCAUGUUUGUUACACUUAUACAUAUUUAUAUCAUACAUUUGCAGUA